Molecule: ribosomal RNA, 453 nt
Filed under: Triticum aestivum (bread wheat)
Lineage: Eukaryota; Viridiplantae; Streptophyta; Magnoliopsida; Poales; Poaceae
Description: partial small subunit ribosomal RNA
Source: RNAcentral
AUGGUCUUGCUUUCAUACCAAUAUCACAGCACAAAUUGGCAGGGGUCUGGAAGUGCAUGCCGCAGUACAUAUGGUGGGUUUGUGAAAUGGUGUAUGGGAAAAAAUGAUGAUGGAAGUGACAGUAUGGCAGUACAGCUUGUUGACGAAUCACAUUGGGAUGAUCUUGUUAUAAUCAUAGCAGUGGUCAGUUCAAAGCAGAAGGAAACCAGUAGCACCAGUGGGAUGCGGGACACUGUUGAAACAAGCCCCCUCUUGCAGUACAGGGCCCAGACUGUAGUGCCAGGUCGCAUAUUGAAAAUGGAAGAGGCCAUCAAGAAUCGUGAUUUUGAAUCCUUUGCCAGGUUAACUUGUGCAGAUAGCAACCAGUUUCAUGUUGUAUGUUUGGUCACGAGUCCUCCCAUCUUCUACAUGAAUGAUACGUCACACAGGAUAAUUAGCCUUGUGGAGAAGUGA